AACAAAAAACUGACUCAUGAACAACUAUAUAUCUUUCGGAAGUCCUUACUACAUCUCUGGCAAUGUUAUAUACUAUCUGAUUACACGUUUACAUCCAAUUAAGAAGAAGAAAAGCAAAAUGUGGAAUGAAAGUUACUUUUAAAUCCAACUAAUAAUUAGACAAUAAACGACACAAUUUUAGCAACUAAUAGACAUUGUCACUAAAAGUCAAAAUGUCACUAACUAAAUAUACAGCAAAAAAGGAAGCAACUUGUCCAUUUCUUUACUUGGAAAAAAAAAUUAUUUAACUUUUAUAUCAGCAAAAAGAAAUACAUAAGAAGCUGGAAAUAAAAUGUUCAUCUUUAUGUACUCAAACCUAAAGAAAAUUUGAUCUCCUUUACUAUAAGACAUCAAAGCUUCUAUCUUUGUAUUCGCCAUAUC
This 420-nucleotide long non-coding RNA is filed under the name Carica papaya (papaya). Its description in RNAcentral is "long non-coding RNA (CPAP_LNC016611)". Lineage: Eukaryota; Viridiplantae; Streptophyta; Magnoliopsida; Brassicales; Caricaceae. The record is from RNAcentral.